Molecule: ribosomal RNA, 1369 nt
Filed under: uncultured bacterium
Lineage: Bacteria
Description: bacterial SSU rRNA
Rfam family: Bacterial small subunit ribosomal RNA
Source: RNAcentral
AGAGUUUGAUCCUGGCUCAGGACGAACGCUGGCGGCGCGCCUAACACAUGCAAGUCGAACGAGAGAUGAGGAGCUUGCUCUUCAAAUCGAGUGGCGAACGGGUGAGUAACGCGUGAGGAACCUGCCUCAAAGAGGGGGACAACAGUUGGAAACGACUGCUAAUACCGCAUAAGCCCACGGCUCGGCAUCGAGCAGAGGGAAAAGGAGCAAUCCGCUUUGAGAUGGCCUCGCGUCCGAUUAGCUAGUUGGUGAGGUAACGGCCCACCAAGGCGACGAUCGGUAGCCGGACUGAGAGGUUGAACGGCCACAUUGGGACUGAGACACGGCCCAGACUCCUACGGGAGGCAGCAGUGGGGAAUAUUGCACAAUGGGGGAAACCCUGAUGCAGCGACGCCGCGUGGAGGAAGAAGGUCUUCGGAUUGUAAACUCCUGUUGUUGAGGAAGAUAAUGACGGUACUCAACAAGGAAGUGACGGCUAACUACGUGCCAGCAGCCGCGGUAAAACGUAGGUCACAAGCGUUGUCCGGAAUUACUGGGUGUAAAGGGAGCGCAGGCGGGAGAACAAGUUGGAAGUGAAAUCCAUGGGCUCAACCCAUGAACUGCUUUCAAAACUGUUUUUCUUGAGUAGUGCAGAGGUAGGCGGAAUUCCCGGUGUAGCGGUGGAAUGCGUAGAUAUCGGGAGGAACACCAGUGGCGAAGGCGGCCUACUGGGCACCAACUGACGCUGAGGCUCGAAAGUGUGGGUAGCANACAGGAUUAGAUACCCUGGUAGUCCACACCGUAAACGAUGAUUACUAGGUGUUGGAGGAUUGACCCCUUCAGUGCCGCAGUUAACACAAUAAGUAAUCCACCUGGGGAGUACGACCGCAAGGUUGAAACUCAAAGGAAUUGACGGGGGCCCGCACAAGCAGUGGAGUAUGUGGUUUAAUUCGGCGCAACGCGAAGAACCUUACCAAGUCUUGACAUCCCUUGACGAACAUAGAAAUAUGUUUUCUCUUCGGAGCAAGGAGACAGGUGGUGCAUGGUUGUCGUCAGCUCGUGUCGUGAGAUGUUGGGUUAAGUCCCGCAACGAGCGCAACCCUUAUGGUCAGUUACUACGCAAGAGGACUCUGGCCAGACUGCCGUUGACAAAACGGAGGAAGGUGGGGAUGACGUCGAAUCAUCAUGCCCUUUAUGACUUGGGCUACACACGUACUACAAUGGCGUUAAACAAAGAGAAGCAAGACCGCGAGGUGGAGCAAAACUCAGAAACAACGUCCCAGUUCGGACUGCAGGCUGCAACUCGCCUGCACGAAGUCGGAAUUGCUAGUAAUCGUGGAUCAGCAUGCCACGGUGAAUACGUUCCCGGGCCUUGUACACACCGCCCGUC